UAGUUUACUACAGAAAAUGACUGAGCGGCGAACGGGUGAGUAACGCGUGAGCAAUCUACCUUAGUUACAGGGAUAGCCCGAGGAAACUCGGAUUAAUACCUGAUAUUCUUUAAAUUUCGCAUGAAAUUAAAAGGAAAGGUCAGCCGAACUAAGAUGAGCUCGCGUUCUAUCAGCUAGUUGGUGAGGUAAAAGCUCACCAAGGCAACGACGGAUAGCUGGUCUGAGAGGACGAUCAGCCACACUGGGACUGAGACACGGCCCAGACUCCUACGGGAGGCUGCAGCAGGGAAUAUUGCGCAAUGAGCGAAAGCUUGACGCAGCGACACCGCGUGUGGGAUGACGGAUCUAGGUUUGUAAACCACUUUCAGGAGGGAAGAAAAUGACGGUACCUCCACAAGAAGCCCCGGCCAACUACGUGCCAGCAGCCGCGGUAAUACGUAGGGGGCGAGCGUUGUCCGGAUUUAUUGGGCGUAAAGAGCUCGUAGGCGGUUCAACAAGUCGGUCGUAAAAGUUCAGGGCUCAACCCUGAAAUGUCGAUCGAUACUGUUGUGACUAGGAUACGGUAGAGGUGAGUGGAAUUCCGAGUGUAGCGGUGAAAUGCGUAGAUAUUCGGAGGAACACCAAUUGCGAAGGCAGCUCACUGGGCCGCUAUCGACGCUGAGGAGCGAAAGCUGGGGGAGCAAACAGGAUUAGAUACCCUGGUAGUCCUAGCUGUAAACGAUGGAUACUAGACGUAGGAACUGGAUUGACGGUUUCUGUGUCGUAGCUAACGCGUUAAGUAUCCCGCCUGGGGAGUACGGUCGCAAGACUAAAACUCAAAGGAAUUGACGGGACCCCGCACAAGCGGCGGAGCAUGCGGCUUAAUUCGAUGAUACCCGUAGAACCUUACCUGGACUUGACAUAUAGGGUCAAGCUAUAGAGAUAUAGUGUGCAUUAGCGCCCUAUACAGGUGGUGCAUGGCUGUCGUCAGCUCGUGUCGU
Molecule: ribosomal RNA, 980 nt
Filed under: uncultured marine bacterium
Lineage: Bacteria
Description: bacterial SSU rRNA
Rfam family: Bacterial small subunit ribosomal RNA
Source: RNAcentral